Molecule: long non-coding RNA, 1633 nt
Organism: Hemicordylus capensis (graceful crag lizard)
Lineage: Eukaryota; Metazoa; Chordata; Lepidosauria; Squamata; Cordylidae
Exons: 4
Source: RefSeq, a predicted model, not a curated record
AGAGAGAGAGAGAGAGAGAAAGAACCAUCAACAAAUUUCCUAUAAUUGGCUUGUUUCUUGGCAGAAAGUAACAAAAGUGUCUGGCACUGAAGCCCCCUCUUAGACCAUCAUUCCACCCCCAUAUGAAAGAAUCUGCCCUUUGCCUUCAUACAAAAAAACCACACCCCUUUCUGCCCCAGCGUUUAGAUCACUUGGAAUGACUUGGCAUAGGGCUUUGGUACUGAGCAGAGAUGUAGGGCAGGCUGGGAGGAAUAUGUAUAUUUAAAUUGAAGUGGAUUGGACAAAUUUUUGGUUUUUAAUAUUUUUUAAUUUUAAAAAAAACAUCCCCAAAAAUCCUGUAAGUGGCUUGUUUCAUGACAGAAAAUCACAAAGUCCUUUAGGUUUCGGUGAAAUGUACUUCUAACUAAAUGUGAGGCUGCAAUUCUCCACACACUUACCUGGAAGCAAACUUUACUGAAAUUGUUAGGAAUUCUGAGAAAACAUACAUAGGAUCACACUGCAUGGCUGAAAGUCUUCUUUGUUAAUCAGCAGUGAGGGGCCCAUUUUAAAAUCAUGUCCCCAGGCUCACUCCAACCUUGCUACACCCCUGGACACAGGCCAGACAUUGAGUGACCACCUUCCCAGAAAGAGACCAUUGUGGCCAAGACACUUAGUGGAGUGGUCUUCUGGUUCAGUCCAGAGGCAGCCUGAGUUGUGUCUUAGCCACAGCUAUGUCGGCCUAUCCACGUAGAGUCUGCAAAAUGGUCAGCCGAUGCUGUGGCAACAGGUACUCACCCUGUUCCAGCAAUAGCGAGCUACAAUGAGCAUCUGAACUCUCUUGAACCAGGGAGUUGGGCCUUUGGAUUCAAAUGACAAUUGAGGCUGUCAGUUGUUCCAUGUGACUUCAACUGGAUUGAGGCCACUCUAUAUAGAGCAAGUGCAACUUCUUGAUUGUUCAUUCUCAUUGCUAAUUCAGCCCUUUAGCACAUUCUUCCCCUGAUGGAAUUUUUCUCUAGUUGACAUCAAAUGACCUCAUUAGAAGACCCCUUCCAGAAGCCAGGAAAAACAAAUAAGUGUGGUUCCCAUAUUCCCUUUUCUCAUUGGACCUCAAAUACGACUGGUGGAGUGCACAGAAUCUUUCGCUUGCAUCCUGUAUCCCUUCCCUUCCUUCUGAGACACUCAGCUUCCACCCCAUCACUUUGGUGCCAGUAACUUUAAACACAAUGCUUUCUGCUUUUAUUAUGAGGUGGUGCUGGACAAGCGUCAACUGAUGCAAUUAAUACAGCCAGCUGUCAUGAUCUCAGCUGCAACACAAUGAUUUAAAAGCAUUCCGGAUUUGUAUUGCUUUUCCUCCCCACCACCCUGCAAUGUACUGUUUUGAUUUGAAAAUACUGAAAUAUCCAGUCACAGAACGGCAUUUUCCAGGGCGGUAAUAGCCUUAACAAUGUUUUUUAUCUAUGCUCAGUCUUCCUGCAAAGAGAUAGAAUAAGAUGGACACUGUUGAAGAGCUGCUGUUCUUCUGUUGAAGAACUUUCUCCAGGCUCCCUUUGCAAGACCAACUUUGAGUCAAAGGGAUGGGACCAGACAGGCCUGCUUUGAGGCUCCAACAGGACUCGAGUGGCAGAGGAAACACAUAUACUAGAAAGUUCUGCCA